GCUCUGUGAUGAGCCCCAUGCGUGUCAUCUGAGCCUGGCUUCCCUGAGGUAUUCAGCCCAGGGUGGUGUUCUACUUCCCGAGGCCAAUGUCUGACCUGAUGGGAUGCUCAGGCAGAGGAUAAAUCUGAAGUUCUGAGAGC
Molecule: small nucleolar RNA, 140 nt
Organism: Suncus etruscus (white-toothed pygmy shrew)
Lineage: Eukaryota; Metazoa; Chordata; Mammalia; Eulipotyphla; Soricidae
Product: small nucleolar RNA SNORD10
Exons: 1
Source: RefSeq, a predicted model, not a curated record